CUUUCUAGGCAUUUGCACUAAAAAAAUUGAAAUUUUUUUAUUGUAACUCAAAUAUUAGCCCCAUCUACAUUGAUCAUGACAUUUCUAUAUCCUUCCUCUGAAUAUUUGUUUGGUUGUAAAUUCUUUCAGGCCAUUAGAAAAUAUGGUAAGCUAUGCGACUUGGUUUUUUGGUCAUCGCGCGGUUACCCUGUGGUGUCACAAAUCAGCCAGUAAUCCAUCCGCGCAACUCUCAGCCCCCUCUCGGUCUUACGCUUUUAUGUGUUUUUAGUUCAAAGUUCGUAUGUUCACAGAAAAAAAGGCAGUAUGAAAAAAUAUGCGGAUUCAAAUGGACUGAAGUCUUUUAGGAACCGUCUUGUCUGAAGUACGAGUUGAUAGUAAAAUCUACCCGAGUGUUCGUGAAUCCCGCUCGUCGCUAACAGCUAAAAAGAGGACUAUAGAGGAGGACUAUAGAGGCUCUACACUACCAUUGUAUAUUCAUUCACGUCUAUAUUUAUGUAAAAAUCAUUCACUUGUGUCGACGAGUUCCUUGCUAGCAGAAAUUCGACAACUUCACAGUUUACAACAAAAGCGAACACAACCACAACAGAAAGCGAAAAAAACUGCCAAGGUAAAACCAACCAAGGACUACCCGAGGGCCAUGAUUGAUGCUGAAGGCUGGGAGGCAUGAGAAUAGGCAAAUGUCUUAAGAUAAUAUAGUAGGGGAUUUCUUACUUUUAUACAACAGUAAAUGUGAAAUAGGCUUUUUUAGAGCAAGAUACUUGCCCUCAAUGAUAAAUCUGAAAACAUUUUUUCUAUCAACCUAAAGAUAAUGAGGAAAGGGGAAAUGUUAGGAGAGUGCUCAACCAAGUUGUUGCAUUACUUAUGAUUUUUCUAUCAAAGAUAUAGUCCAAUUUCUUCCUUUUCUCUCUCUCACCAGUAUCAGUAUCACCAGUAAUAAGUGAUAGAUUAAUCUUCCAUAUGGCAUCUGAAGUGUAUCUAACUAUAUCAUUCUAUCUUUGGAAUGCUGUUGCAUCCAUCAUUUGUUUCUUUGCAAGGGCAAACCUGGUCAGAAUGUAGCUUUGAUACGAGUGUACAUUAAUGAAACUUCUAUCAAGGGAAGGGUUUAUUAUUAGAGCAAGGUCCGGGGGGGCUCUCCAGAAAGAUAGACGGGGGGUGCUCGACCUAUCUUUUACGGUAUAAAAUUCUUACCAACUGCUAUCUCUUAGGGUGUGUUUUAGGAUUUUUCUGAUUCUGCUAUCUUUUAAGGUGUCUCACGCUAAGUGGUGGCCCAAUCGGUUGAAAUGUAUUUUACAAUAAACCACAAGUCAACUGAUCGGUUAAUACUUUAGACUUUAAUGUCAGUAACAUAACAAUAUAGGAUCCGUCAGCAAAUUAAAACCAGCAUUGUUUUUUUAAUGCUAUCUCACAGGGUUGAAAAUUCCUCUGACCACACCCAAUGUGCUAUCUCUUAGAGGUAAGAGUUGUUGUUGACCACGCCCUUAGUGCUAUCCCUUAGGGUUAAAAUUGAUUAUGCUGUCGAGCACCCCUGUCUCUCAAACUCCCGUUUCUCAUAGUCCCCCCCCCCUCCCCCCUGGGAGCAAGGUACUCUAUAUAAAGACAACAUCAAGGUAAAUUAUAUAAAGACAAGAUCAAACUGUGCUUUUUCAAUAAUAAAUCUGUAAAAAAAAGUUUUAUUUCAAACCUAUAGGUAAAUAGAAAGGGGAGAAUGUUAGGAAUAUGCUUAUUUAAGCUAUUAUUGCAUUAUUGUUAUAUAUUUUUUAAAGUAGUCACGUUUUUUCAAA
Nematostella vectensis (starlet sea anemone) is the source of this 1781-nucleotide long non-coding RNA. RefSeq lists it as uncharacterized. Lineage: Eukaryota; Metazoa; Cnidaria; Anthozoa; Actiniaria; Edwardsiidae. The transcript is spliced from 2 exons. The record is from RefSeq and is a predicted model, not a curated record.